This 450-nucleotide ribosomal RNA is filed under the name uncultured Glomeromycotina. RNAcentral describes it as "SSU rRNA". It matches the Rfam family "Eukaryotic small subunit ribosomal RNA", at positions 569 to 1026 of the family's 1831-position model. Lineage: Eukaryota; Fungi; Glomeromycota. The record is from RNAcentral.
AGCAGCCGCGGUAAUUCCAGCUCCAAUAGCGUAUAUUAAAGUUGUUGCAGUUAAAAAGCUCGUAGUUGAAUUUCGAGAUCAAAUUGUUGGUCGUGCCUCGGUACGUACUGGCAUUAUUGAUUUCUCCCUUCUGAAGAACCUUGAUGUCAUUAAUUUGGUGUCUUGGGGAAUCAGGACCGUUACUUUGAAAAAUUAGAGUGUUUAAAGCAGGCUCACGCUUGAAUACAUUAGCAUGGAAUAAUGAAAUAGGACGUUUGAUUCUAUUUUGUUGGUUUCUAGGAUCGACGUAAUGAUUAAUAGGGAUAGUUGGGGCAUUAGUAUUCAAUUGUCAGAGAUGAAAUUCUUGGAUUUAUUGAAGACUAACUACUGCGAAAGCAUUUGCCAAGGAUGUUUUCAUUAAUCAAGAACGAAAGUUAGGGGAUCGAAGACGAUCAGAUACCGUCGUAGUCU